This 253-nucleotide ribosomal RNA is filed under the name uncultured bacterium. RNAcentral's name for it is "partial 16S ribosomal RNA". It matches the Rfam family "Bacterial small subunit ribosomal RNA", at positions 524 to 776 of the family's 1533-position model. The record is from RNAcentral.
UACGAAGGGGGCUAGCGUUGCUCGGAAUCACUGGGCGUAAAGCGCACGUAGGCGGACUCUUAAGUCGGUGGUGAAAUCCUGGAGCUCAACUCCAGAACUGCCUUCGAUACUGAGAGUCUCGAGUCCGGGAGAGGUGAGUGGAACUGCGAGUGUAGAGGUGAAAUUCGUAGAUAUUCGCAAGAACACCAGUGGCGAAGGCGGCUCACUGGCCCGGUACUGACGCUGAGGUGCGAAAGCGUGGAGAGCAAACAGG